UACGGAGGGGGCAAGCGUUGUUCGGAAUUACUGGGCGUAAAGGGCGCGCAGGCGGCUGCUCAAGUCAGGCGUGAAAGGCCUGGGCUCAACCCGGGAAUUGCGCUUGAGACUGGGCUGGCUUGAGUGCGGGAGAGGAUGGUGGAAUUCCCAGUGUAGAGGUGAAAUUCGUAGAUAUCGAGAGGAACACCGGUGGCGAAGGCGGCCAACUGGACAGAUACUGACGCUGAGACACGAAAGCGUGGGGAGCAAACAGG
Molecule: ribosomal RNA, 254 nt
Filed under: uncultured bacterium
Lineage: Bacteria
Description: partial 16S ribosomal RNA
Rfam family: Bacterial small subunit ribosomal RNA
Source: RNAcentral